UGGGGAUGUUCCCGAGCGGCCAAAGGGGUCAGACUGUAAAUCUGAUGGCUCAGCCUUCACAGGUUCGAAUCCUGUCGUCCCCAU
This 84-nucleotide transfer RNA is filed under the name Rubinisphaera italica. RNAcentral's name for it is "Planctomycetes bacterium Pan54 tRNA-Tyr". It matches the Rfam family "tRNA". Rfam says of the family: Transfer RNA (tRNA) molecules are approximately 80 nucleotides in length. Their secondary structure includes four short double-helical elements and three loops (D, anti-codon, and T loops). The record is from RNAcentral. Lineage: Bacteria; Pseudomonadati; Planctomycetota; Planctomycetia; Planctomycetales; Planctomycetaceae.